This 1836-nucleotide small RNA is filed under the name Pyricularia oryzae. RNAcentral's name for it is "Magnaporthe oryzae sRNA M_BR32_EuGene_00108931". The record is from RNAcentral. Lineage: Eukaryota; Fungi; Ascomycota; Sordariomycetes; Magnaporthales; Pyriculariaceae.
AAUUAUAAUAAAAAUGGUAAAAGCAAUUAUAUUAUAUAAGAAACCUAAUUGAAAAUGAUUUUUUAAAACAAUUAGCAGAUAUACUUUACAAAUUUAUUAAUUCUUUCCUGGAAAAGAACCGAAGAAUAAAUUUUUAAUAAACCAAAUACUAGUUAAUAAAAUAAAAACAAAAAAUCCCAAAAGUUAGGAGGAUAUUAUAUUAUAAAGUUUAUUAUAUAUUAUCACGCGGAAUAAAUUUUAAAUAUUGUGGAAAACGUUUGACAAUUUGUUUAAAAAAUAGGUUACCAAAUUUGAUAAGUUUUUAACGCUCGGCCAGUAAUAUUAAUAAACAAGCGAGGGCACGGGAUAAAGUUAUACGUUAGUUAUAAAACGCUAAAGGUAAUUUUUGCAACGAACUAUUAUUUUUAUAAUUUUAAAUAACGAAAUGUUGCGCAAAUAUUUAAAUCGCAAGUAACUUAUAAAAUCUAAGGUAAUUUUGGUUAAAAUUAAAAUAGGGCAAAAAUAUAAAACGGAUUUUCAAAUUAAUUACGGGUUAUUCGAAGGGGUAAUAACUUCGCAUUAUUUAUUUAUAGCCCUAAUAAUUUUCCAAAAGAUAUUUAUAUUAUAUAAUAAAAGUAUUAUUAGAUACUAUUUGUAUUAUAUGCGUAAAUAUUAUAUUUACUUUUAAUAAUAAAUUUUGUACUAAUUAUAUCGGCAAAAAAAGAAACUUUAAUAAAAUUUCGUAAAUAUUGCAUUAUUAUCCAGCCAAAGCGGACGUUUACGCCAAAAAAUUAAAUAUUUAAAUUUCGUUAUAAGAACCGGGGUUAGGGUUGGUUAAGUUCUGUAAAAAUGGUACUAAAUGAAAAUUAGAAAAUAUCAAUUUGUUAAAAAAGCGAAGAAGUUUUAUUAUAGUUUUAAAAUCUUAUCAAAUAUAAAUUUUUAAUAUUUUAAUAUAAAGGUAGUUUUAAUAUUAAGUUAAUAUUAGAAAUACGCCGUUCGAAGGAGAAUUCGUAUAAUAAAAUAAAUUUAACGUACUGUAAGAUUAAUUACCAACGCGGUAUUAUUAUAUAAAUUUAAACUGUAUAUAAAUAUAUACUUUAAAAUAAAUUAUAACUAAUCCGCGUUAAAAUUAACAUUAUUAUAUAUAUUAGCGAGGUAAAUAUUAUAGUGGUUUCCAGCUUAUAAAAGUUUAUAGGUUUGCAACGAAACUACCCUAUUUAUAAUAAAAUAAUAUAAGUCGUAUAUACUUUUUUAAUUUAUUAGAAAAUUAUAUAAAGACAAAUAGUAAACUUUCCCAUAUUUACGGAUUAUAAAGAUAUUUAUUAUAUAAUAGGAACGUUAGACAAAUAUAAUAUUGUGCUAAUUUACAAUUUAAUAAUAAAAAGCGUUAUACGACGUUUUUAAUUGCCGCGAAUAAACAAACCGACGGGGAAAAGCCAGGGAAAUUAAUAUUAGUAUUGGACUUUACAAUUACUACCAUAGAAUUUAAAUAUUAUAAUAUUUGCAAAAUGGGUCAUAUAUAUAUAUGGAAAAUAGUUAGUAUGUAAAGAAUUUGAUAUGAAAUAAAUAUAGUAGGAAUUUGCAAGACGCACCCCGAUUUAAAAAAUAAUAUACGCAACGGUUAAAUAAGAAAGGAUAUUUAAACCCAAAAUUAUAAUUACGCAUUUGAAUCUCCGAAUUCUAUAUUAACGAAAACGGAAAAGUUAAAUAUAAAAAAUAUUUUCAAAUAUUUGAUUUAUUCUACAAUAUAAAUAAAUAAACAUGCAAUAUUAAAAGGCAAAAUAAUAUAUAUAUAACAAAUUUGGAAAGCGACUAAUAUAAUAUAAAUAUAUAUAUAAUAUAAUAUUGCAAAAUUAA